UCAAGUUACGUUCUUUGGGACUUUCGAUUGUAUACGGCGAGUGUUCGAUUAAUUUCAAUUGUUGAUUGUUAUUUUGUUUGAUUUGAUUAUGGAAGUGGAUUAUGCAAUGAUGUAUGAAAUAUAUAUACAAAGAUUCAUGCUUUGAGGCUUGAAAAGAGAUUAUACCUCAAGAAGGAUUGAAUUUGGUGGUGGAGGAGCAAGAAUGAAUUAAUUGUGAGAAGAUGGAAAGUGAAGAGAGUUGGAGGUGAAGAGCCCCCAUGGUGAAAGACCGUAGACUACUUGGAGAAAAAGAAGGAAGGAAGACUUUUUUUUUUCUUUUGGGCUUGCUCUCAUAUCUUUGGAAAUUGUAUUGGGCUCAACAUAUAUCAUUUAAAUUAGUUUGGGUUCAUUUAGUUGAAAGCCCAAGUUGAUAAUUAUUUAA
This is a long non-coding RNA of Salvia splendens (bonfire salvia), 421 nucleotides long. RefSeq lists it as uncharacterized. The record is from RefSeq and is a predicted model, not a curated record. Lineage: Eukaryota; Viridiplantae; Streptophyta; Magnoliopsida; Lamiales; Lamiaceae. The transcript has 2 exons.